GAGAGCCCGGUGCGCUUAGCGCACGCCGGGUUCGGGAGGCGGCUCGGAGAAACCCACCAGUGGCAACACCAGCAGGGCGCUCCGAGUCGACCUCAC
RNAcentral lists this unclassified non-coding RNA (96 nucleotides) under Kibdelosporangium aridum. The record is from RNAcentral. Lineage: Bacteria; Bacillati; Actinomycetota; Actinomycetes; Pseudonocardiales; Pseudonocardiaceae.